AUCCAGCUAACAAAUCCCAAAUAGGAUGAAACACAUGUCCUGGAU
RNAcentral lists this non-coding RNA (45 nucleotides) under Schistosoma haematobium. The record is from RNAcentral. Lineage: Eukaryota; Metazoa; Platyhelminthes; Trematoda; Strigeidida; Schistosomatidae.